RNAcentral lists this ribosomal RNA (591 nucleotides) under uncultured Micrococcus sp. Its description in RNAcentral is "bacterial SSU rRNA". It matches the Rfam family "Bacterial small subunit ribosomal RNA", at positions 214 to 817 of the family's 1533-position model. Lineage: Bacteria; Bacillati; Actinomycetota; Actinomycetes; Micrococcales; Micrococcaceae. The record is from RNAcentral.
AUCGGUUUUGGAUGGACUCGCGGCCUAUCAGCUUGUUGGUGAGGUAAUGGCUCACCAAGGCGACGACGGGUAGCCGGCCUGAGAGGGUGACCGGCCACACUGGGACUGAGACACGGCCCAGACUCCUACGGGAGGCAGCAGUGGGGAAUAUUGCACAAUGGGCGCAAGCCUGAUGCAGCGACGCCGCGUGAGGGAUGACGGCCUUCGGGUUGUAAACCUCUUUCAGUAGGGAAGAAGCGAAAGUGACGGUACCUGCAGAAGAAGCACCGGCUAACUACGUGCCAGCAGCCGCGGUAAUACGUAGGGUGCGAGCGUUAUCCGGAAUUAUUGGGCGUAAAGAGCUCGUAGGCGGUUUGUCGCGUCUGUCGUGAAAGUCCGGGGCUUAACCCCGGAUCUGCGGUGGGUACGGGCAGACUAGAGUGCAGUAGGGGAGACUGGAAUUCCUGGUGUAGCGGUGGAAUGCGCAGAUAUCAGGAGGAACACCGAUGGCGAAGGCAGGUCUCUGGGCUGUAACUGACGCUGAGGAGCGAAAGCAUGGGGAGCGAACAGGAUUAGAUACCCUGGUAGUCCAUGCCGUAAACGUUGGGCACU